Molecule: ribosomal RNA, 253 nt
Filed under: uncultured bacterium
Lineage: Bacteria
Description: partial 16S ribosomal RNA
Rfam family: Bacterial small subunit ribosomal RNA
Source: RNAcentral
UACGGAGUGUGCAAGCGUUACUCGGAAUCACUGGGCAUAAAGCGCGCGUAGGCGGGUUUUCAAGUCGGUUGUGAAAUCCCUCAGCUCAACUGAGGAACUGCAUCCGAUACUGUCUGUCUUGAGGACGAGAGGGGAAAGUGGAACUUCUGGUGGAGCGGUGAAAUGCGUAGAUAUCAGAAGGAACGCCGGUGGCGAAAGCGACUUUCUGGCUCGUAUCUGACGCUGAGGCGCGAAAGCUUGGGUAGCAAACGGG